This 3362-nucleotide long non-coding RNA is filed under the name Podarcis lilfordi (Lilford's wall lizard). Lineage: Eukaryota; Metazoa; Chordata; Lepidosauria; Squamata; Lacertidae. The record is from RNAcentral.
CAUCUAGGAGUAUCUGAGAGUAGAUGAACUGAUGCACAUGCCUUUUCCUAAUGUGUAAGUGUACUUUUGACAAUGAAGAGUCAAUUCUUCCCUCUGGAUAUCCCUUGCCUGACAGCGCUGUGACAAGCAAAAUUUGGAGAGCUACAGGUUAGCUACCUCUGCCUUUAUGACAUGCUUUAUGAAAUGACAGUGAGGAGUCCACUCCGUGUUUUAGUACUUUUGCAUCUGUGCAGCACAAUCCUAUGUGUGUUUAUUUGGAAGAAGCUUCCACUGACAAAAUUAUACAUGGUAAAAUAAGGAUGACAAAUUUUGCUUAACAUGAAACUUUAUUUUGCAAUGAAAUUGGGGGGGGAAAUCCAUGAAAAGAAAAAGCUCUGCAUAACCAAGAAAGGUCACUAAUUAAGAGAAGAAUGGAAAAGGAAAAUCACUUAUUUAUUAUAUAAUGGGUGGGCUUUGGGGACCAGGUAAAACAAGUUAAUAAAAUGUUCAGUAAGUGUUGAGAGAGUUUAGAUGUAUUUGUUAUGCAGUUGAAUCAUUGUCAGAAAGUGUAUGUAUCUGAAUCUGUAUUUGAUUGGGAUGUGGUCAGAAGCUUAAAGGAUUUCCACAUAGGAGAUAAACAGAAAUCAUGAUCCUGUAGCAUCUUUUAAAAAAAUUGCAAUUCCUUGUUUGCUGCACUGGCUGCGCGUGAAACUUUUGCCACAUUUGUGCUGUGAUGGUGAUGGUGCCUUGUCAACAGUGCAGUGCCGUGUGUGGCUGGUGGAGUCUCUUAUGCUGAAAUGACCCUAGAAGGAUUGUGAGAAACGUCCUGAUUGUGGCUCGUGUUAUGUGGCUGUCAAAAGUGGUGUACUCUUGGUGCUAAAGCUCGAGGAUAAUGUGUUUCUUUGAGACGCAGCGUGUGCCUGAAGAGCAGCUGAUUGCAUUAUACAUGUAAACAUUUGCUGCAGGCCAUCUGAGAAGACGUAUGACUGGUUUAAUGGUUGCAUGCUGUUUAUAAAAAUUGUUAACUAAAUCCAGGCAGACAGCAGUGAUUAACAUUGGAAAGGGUCUGUCAUUUUUCCCAAGCUAAGUCCUUUGGCCUCUGUUGAUAUUCAGUGUUUAGAGAAAGCUGGAUCCGUGUGGCAAAAUGAAAUUACAGCUCCAUAUGUUCUUCUGCUGUAGGGUUAGUUAUGUGGGGGGAAAUUGCUUUAGUUUAUAUUUUAAUGUGAACCUAUCCAAUUUGCACUUGCUGAAACAAUAUGUGAGCCAAAACACAGCUAUCUUUCAAAACAAGCACCUCUCUGAAUUUUGCAUUGCAGUUCUCCAGCCAGAUAGUAUCUACAUAAAUGCAUGUAUUAGGGAGAAAUGCACAUUAAAAAGCAAUAUAUUAGGGGAUAUUCCUUGCAAAAAUGUGCAUACUAAAGACUUCUUUUUAAAAACCCACAAACUGAUGUAAAAAUGAUAUUCAGAGCGGAAUUAAAUUUCUGUUUAAAUUUCUACCCUGCCCUUCAUCCCAAAGGAGCCCAGAGCAGCAAACAUCAAAAUGUUAAAACAAUACAAUUACAGAUAAAAUAAAAGCGUAUUUAAAAACAUCUACAAACAUGUAAAAACUCUUUAAAAACAAUCACAUACCCUCAUACCUAAUUUCAAGGUUGCAGACAGCAGUGUCUUUCAGCCAUCAGAUACCUGAGUAGCCAGGAAACUUUCCCCCUCCCAAUUGCUCCUUAUGUUCAACAAUGAGGGGGACAGGCACAGCUGACCAGGGAUGGAGCCACCACAGAGAAGGCCCCAUCAUGGGUCAAUGCCAACUGAGCAGCAGUGACAGGUAGCACCACCAACAUGACGUAUCCUGCUGAUCAUAUGGCCUAAAAUGAUUGAUAUUGGGCGAAUUGUUCCAGUUACUUGGGUCCCAAGGUGAUUAGGGUUUUUUAUGCAAGUACCAUCAACUUUAAUUGGGCUUGGUAGUUCACUGGCAGCCAAUGCAGAGUUUUCAGGGCAUAUUGUCUCAUCAGGCUGCCCCCAUUAAACUUUAUAGUGAACUUCAUUAGUAAAAUUAUCUCAAAAUGGCUUACAUAAAGCACCACCAUGGUUAAUUAGCAAAAGCCAGCUAUCAAAAUAAAACAGAUAAUAAAUCUCACUCAGAAUCAUUAAAACCCAGUGGCAAAAUUUUGUCAAUGCUAUCAACAGGCUCAGAGUGGUUUGCAGCAGUUUAUCUAAGUACUAAUAGUUCUUGUUCCCUGUGGGGUGUUGCAGGAUAAAUGAGGUCAGUGAAAAUGGCAUUGGAUAAACAUUUUUAAAAACAACAACGACAGAGUUAACUGGGAUGGGUAAUUGUGUCUCUUGUGUUCUGCCCAGAAGGCAAGCAGAUCUUCACUCCUAGGCUCUGGGAGUGCAUCACAAACUGUCAGUGGCAACCAUUUUUGUAAAAUUCAGUUGCAGUUCCCAUCCAAUGUGAUGCACAAAGUAUUAAGGCUUUUAUGUGCUAUGGUGCUUUUGAUUAAAAAAUGUCCUUCUGACACAUUCUGCCCUUUUUAUUGCUUCCUAUUUAUUGCUGUGGGGUUAGUGAUAAGUUGUUCCUUAAUUUAAUUAGUCUGCUUCAGUACCUCAGGGGUGUGUGUGUUAAUGAUGGUUUUCCUGUCAUUAUUUUUCCUUUUCUUUCUGUUAUAGUGAAACAGCACCAUUUCACUAUGAAAGAAAACAUGGAAGUAAAGAAAAGAGCAAUUAAUUAUUAAAGUAAUAAAAGGGACAGAAGCUGCAAGGAGGAAACUACUAAACAACAUUGCGGGGACCUUUACUGAAUAAGACUUAGAAGGAUUCUUGACCCUAGAGAAGGGCAUUCCUGGGAAAUAGAACAUAUAGCAAGCGUUAUGUAUCAAAUCACCAUUUUAAUUUCACUUAUGUCUGAUUGUGGAAAAGCAGUGCCUUGACAGUCCUAAGGGCCGUAGUGUACAAGUAGCCAAUGUUUUCCUGGGAAGCAUCCUAGCAGUGUAAGGACAGAUCUUUUCUUCAUUGGUACUGCAUUAUAUAUAGCACUUGCCAAAUUUUAGCAACUGCUUGCAGAAUAAUGAACAUCUUAUUUUGAUUUAUUUUCUCUAGAUUUGGAAAAGCUUGUGUUAACGAGGGAAGCGGGAAAGAUUUUUUUGUAACAAGUUUUGCAAAGGAUGACCAGAAUGAUAAUGAACUAGAUUUUCAAGUGCUAAAGAUUAAUGCAAAGGGUCAGAUGAUGAGGACCUGCUUUCCUAAAUAAAAACCAAGCAAGAUAUCUUAUUACUAACCUCCUCUGCGUAAUCUGAUCCACUUUCCCUAAAGAUAAAGCUUUUAAUGCAUGAGAGGUACUUUGAAUCAUAGUGAUCGCUCCAGUGGGAUUAGCUCUGAGUCAACGGCAC